GACGAACGCUGGCGGCGUGCUUAACACAUGCAAGUCGAACGGAAAGGCCCUGCUUUUGUGGGGUGCUCGAGUGGCGAACGGGUGAGUAACACGUGAGUAACCUGCCCUUGACUUUGGGAUAACUUCAGGAAACUGGGGCUAAUACCGGAUAGGAGCUCCUGCUGCAUGGUGGGGGUUGGAAAGUUUCGGCGGUUGGGGAUGGACUCGCGGCUUAUCAGCUUGUUGGUGGGGUAGUGGCUUACCAAGGCUUUGACGGGUAGCCGGCCUGAGAGGGUGACCGGCGACAUUGGGACUGAGAUACGGCCCAGACUCCUACGGGAGGCAGCAGUGGGGAAUAUUGCACAAUGGGCGGAAGCCUGAUGCAGCAACGCCGCGUGCGGGAUGACGGCCUUCGGGUUGUAAACCGCUUUCGACUGUGACGAAGCGUGAGUGACGGUAAUGGGUAAAGAAGCACCGGCUAACUACGUG
This 468-nucleotide ribosomal RNA is filed under the name uncultured bacterium. RNAcentral's name for it is "partial 16S ribosomal RNA". It matches the Rfam family "Bacterial small subunit ribosomal RNA", at positions 28 to 507 of the family's 1533-position model. The record is from RNAcentral.